Molecule: ribosomal RNA, 292 nt
Filed under: uncultured prokaryote
Description: partial 16S ribosomal RNA
Rfam family: Bacterial small subunit ribosomal RNA
Source: RNAcentral
GUGCCAGCCGCCGCGGUAAUACAGAGGGUGCGAGCGUUAAUCGGAUUUACUGGGCGUAAAGCGUGCGUAGGCGGCUUUUUAAGUCGGAUGUGAAAUCCCCGAGCUUAACUUGGGAAUUGCAUUCGAUACUGGGAAGCUAGAGUAUGGGAGAGGAUGGUAGAAUUCCAGGUGUAGCGGUGAAAUGCGUAGAGAUCUGGAGGAAUACCGAUGGCGAAGGCAGCCAUCUGGCCUAAUACUGACGCUGAGGUACGAAAGCAUGGGGAGCAAACAGGAUUAGAUACCCCAGUAGUCC